AAACUCAAAUGAAUUGACGGGGGCCCGCACAAGCAGUGGAGUAUGUGGUUUAAUUCGAAGCAACGCGAAGAACCUUACCAGGUCUUGACAUCCAACUAACGAGGCAGAGAUGCGUUAGGUGCCCUUCGGGGAAAGUUGAGACAGGUGGUGCAUGGUUGUCGUCAGCUCGUGUCGUGAGAUGUUGGGUUAAGUCCCGCAACGAGCGCAACCCUUGUGAUUAGUUGCUACGCAAGAGCACUCUAAUCAGACUGCCGUUGACAAAACGGAGGAAGGUGGGGACGACGUCAAAUCAUCAUGCCCUUUAUGACCUGGGCUACACACGUACUACAAUGAUCGUUAACAGAGGGACGCAAGACCGCGAGGUGGAGCAAAACCCUAAAAACGGUCUCAGUUCGGAUCGCAGGCUGCAACCCGCCUGCGUGAAGUUGGAAUUGCUAGUAAUCGCGGAUCAGAAUGCCGCGGUGAAUACGUUCCCGGGCCUUGUACACACCGCCCGUCACACCAUGGGAGCCGGUAAUACCCGAAGUCAGUAGUCUAACCGCAAGGAGGACGCUGCCGAAGGUAGGAUUGGCGACU
RNAcentral lists this ribosomal RNA (576 nucleotides) under uncultured Oscillospiraceae bacterium. RNAcentral describes it as "bacterial SSU rRNA". It matches the Rfam family "Bacterial small subunit ribosomal RNA", at positions 897 to 1476 of the family's 1533-position model. Lineage: Bacteria; Bacillati; Bacillota; Clostridia; Eubacteriales; Oscillospiraceae. The record is from RNAcentral.